This is a long non-coding RNA of Raphanus sativus (radish), 1147 nucleotides long. RefSeq lists it as uncharacterized. The transcript is spliced from 4 exons. The record is from RefSeq and is a predicted model, not a curated record. NCBI's taxonomy places the organism in Eukaryota, Viridiplantae, Streptophyta, Magnoliopsida, Brassicales, Brassicaceae.
CCCCCGAUAAUGAAACGCUGCGUUUUCAAGUGUUUGUGGUGUCUCCAUCUUCGCGUCUCUCCUCCUCAUCGCGCAAGCGAUCUUCCAUCUUCUUCCUUCUGUCGCGAGGUGGUAACAGUAACCGACAUGCUCUCUUAAAUCCCUCCAUUAAUCGACCACUCAAAUCCCUCCAUUAAUCGACCACUCACGAUCCAUAUUCAAUGCGACUCUUGCGACUGGAAAGCGGUGGCAUUCCACUAUAAAAAGAAUAGCCGCUCUUCCUCCACCAUUCAAGUUCGCCUGCUCCGUUUCUGGGACCCAGGAAUGUACGCCGUGGUGGAGAUCUCAUGGGAGUCACAUGCUCCUUCUUGAUUCUCAGUCUGUCAGUGAUCUACUGCUUAGGUUCUGGGAGCAAGAAAUAUGAUGAGCGGAGGCAACCAUAUCGGUGUAUACCUUCUCCUCCUUGAUGCAAAAGUGAUUCCGGCGACUCUCAUCUAAGUCACCGUCCGCUUCAUGGCUGCACCUCUGUCUUCGGUGAAUGCUUCUUUAUUUACAGGUCAAACAACUCCUCAAAGCAUCAGUUGAGGAAACGAGGGGAUUAAAUAUCUCAGAUUACACAUAAGGCAGGGCUUAUUAACUCAGGUAACUUCUACUGUAGUAAAGUAGCAUAGGAUCUACGAAUGUGUCAGACUAUGAUUUAAUAUCCUAAAGCAGGAAAGUAUGGAACAUAAAAGGGUAUUUUCUAUCGUUGGUGAUGGAUUUGUAAGAGCUAUUUAGAGGGUAUAACAUGACAUGAGUAUGGAUUAUAUUAAGGGGACUUCAAGGAUUCUUAUCCGAAGAGGUACCUAAACUCUCUAUUUCACCAUUGAUCGCAUGAUUCUUUGAUCAUUGUAUGUCAACGAUGAUUGUAUUGUAUGUUUAAAAUAAUCUUUGAACUCCAGUGGACGUGUGUCUUGCAUCCGAAGAAACAUUUAUAUCUAAAGACCGAAAUGUGUCUGAAUCAACGUUUAUGUCAUUGUGGUUACUUGAUAUUUUCCACGACCAAACCUAGCUGACCAACUUUGACACCGUAAACCAUAUAGUGUUCGUUCAUUAUCUUUUUGUAAUUCAAACUUAUAAGCUUUUAACUCCAGAGAGUUGUUUUAACUGAUAAAGGCUUUCACUCUUU